This 406-nucleotide long non-coding RNA is filed under the name Gallus gallus (chicken). Lineage: Eukaryota; Metazoa; Chordata; Aves; Galliformes; Phasianidae. The record is from RNAcentral.
GAAGGCGUCUUUUUCCCUACUUCUGGGGAAGAGCAUGGAGUCCUGGCAAUCCAGUGUUUAAUAGACAUUUUGGAGGAAGGCACCAGCUUGGGAGAAGUACGUGGGCUGGCUCCACUCAGCUUUGCUGGUGUGCAGGCUGUGGCCAUUUGAGUUUUGAGAGAGACUGUUGGAGUGUUUGUAGAAAGAGGAAGGUCUCCAGAAUAACUGGGAGCACAGGCAGCUGGACGUGGUGAGGAAGCACAUGGGCUGCCCACUGAGAAGGCCUUGGCAGGAGUACUCUGGGGGCUGGCUGAUCGUCCUGCUCCACGUUGUUCCUCUGGUUUCUUCUGUGUGACCCAGCCCACCAACUUGGCUUUGUUGGACACUGAUUUUUCCUCCUCAGGAUAAUGCUGUAGGCGCCAGAUCC